RNAcentral lists this ribosomal RNA (577 nucleotides) under uncultured Alphaproteobacteria bacterium. RNAcentral's name for it is "bacterial SSU rRNA". It matches the Rfam family "Bacterial small subunit ribosomal RNA", at positions 10 to 645 of the family's 1533-position model. Lineage: Bacteria; Pseudomonadati; Pseudomonadota; Alphaproteobacteria. The record is from RNAcentral.
AGUUUGAUUCUGGCUCAGAACGAACGCUGGCGGCAGGCCUAACACAUGCAAGUCGAGCGCUCCGCAAGGAGAGCGGCGGACGGGUGAGUAACGCGUGGGAACGUGCCCUCUUGCCUGGGAUAACUGCGGGAAACUGCAGCUAAAACCGGGUGAGCCCUACGGGGGAAGGAGAGGAUCGGCCCGCGUUGGAUUAGGUAGUUGGUGGGGUAAUGGCCUACCAAGCCGACGAUCCAUACCUGGUUUGAGAGGAUGAUCAGGCACACUGGGACUGAGACACGGCCCAGACUCCUACGGGAGGCAGCAGUGGGGAAUCAUAGACAAUGGGGGAAACCCUGAUCUUGCCAUGCCGCGUGGACGAUGAAGGCCUUAGGGUUGUAAAGUCCUUUCACCGGUGAAGAUAAUGACGGUAGCCGGAGAAGAAGCCCCGGCUAACUCCGUGCCAGCAGCCGCGGUAAUACGGAGGGGGCUAGCGCUGUUCGGAAUUACUGGGCAUAAAGCGCGCGUAGGCGGGCUGUUAAGUCGGGGGUGAAAUCCCGGGGCUCAACCCCGGAACUGCCUUCGAUACUGGCAGCCUAGA